CUUGCCCUAGACGCACAAGGCUCUACCAGCUCGUCCGAUGCAUCCUCACGGUGUCUUCCUCAUCCAUGUCACGCCCCUCUACCACGUCCUCCUGCCUCCACCGGACACUUCCGCUUCGACGCUUCCACUCGCCGAUUUCUAUCCAGGUAUGUGAGGCGGCAGUUUCCUAAUAAUUAGAGAAGGUUGCGAUCCUAUUCAUCCUCUCUGUGAUCCCCUGCUUCCAACCAAUGAAUCUCUUCGGCAUAAAGUUCUGAUCAGGCUGCAGUCGGAAUCAUCCUUUUGUAGUCCUCCACCGGGCACUUCCGCCUCGACGCUUCCACUCGCCGAUUUCUAUCCAGUCCAGUCAACUAAAUUGAUGCUGUGGAAGUGGAGGUGAGGGCUGUGGUGUACACAUAUGGAGAGGAUAACAAAUAAUUGCUCUUAUAGAAUCCCUCUUUCAGAUACUCGACUGUACUAAAGAGGAGGGACAGAAAUAGAGGCAGCCUAAACUCCUGGACAAAACGGCCGCUCACAUGGAAGAUCGGGCAAGUAUUACUUUUGAUCUGAUUUCGGUAAGUGCAUGCUGACCCAUACUACUAAGCUGAUAACUGACAAGUGAAAAUUAGUAGAUUCACUUCAUCUGAUCCGAGAAAAGUCACGUUCUUUGUGUAUAGCAGACAAGCUUUCAUCUGUAAAAUAUUAUUUCUGCGGUAAGUCACUUGGCAGUUGGGACCACUUUGUUAUUAGUCGGCUGUCUUACAAAACAAUAGCACCAAGAUUGUGAUAUGUUUGUAGCUAAUUUCAUGUAGUUUGUUUUAAAAAAAUGUAUGUCUUCCUAUCAUAUCUUGCCAUUUGCGGAACACUUGGAUUCCUGAAUUACAAGUGUGUAUGAAAGCUAUGAUUGAUUUCUCUCGCAGAAUAAAUAGUUUAAGGAUUACAAAUAAGAACCAUUUAUGGAUGUAGUUUUCCAGAUCUGCUAACUCACCCCUUUCCUUUGAUAAAGUUGUUAAUUGCUGUUAUUAACUGAUACAUGAAGAACUGAGGACAUAACUCGAACCUCAUUUAUGUCAGAAGCAUACACACGGUUCAUGCAAGUAAACUAUGUUUGUCAAUUCCUUUUUUCAGGAUUACCUCAUGCUAUUGGAACUAUAGUUCUUGAUCUAUUCGCAACUCAAUAUUGUACAUCACCAAGAUAUUGCUACUGAAAACUUAGUAGUAAAUCACUAAGAUAGUAAAUGAUAAUGAGGAAGAACCAUAGAAGUACUCGCCAUGCAUGUCCUUAAUUAGGUGGUACAUGAUGAACAUAUGUUGGUUCACUUGCAUGUUAACAUGUGUGGUCUAUUUAGAUAGAAAUCACUCAAGUAGCUUUAUGUGGCAACAUAAUAAUGUUCAGUUAGGAAAAUGAUAGUAUUUUUAUGAUUUAUUCUUAUUUGAGAUGACCAAGCGCACAUGCUUCUAGGGUACCACUAUUGUUACGUUUUCUUUGUUUAUUGUUGAAUCUGAAGGAAAGAGACUUCAGAUAGAGGGUUGUUUUGGGCUCAAAAUUUUCAGAUAAAAUGUUACUCGCCAAGAUUUUUAGCCACAAGGAAAACAUUUAAUCAUUACAAAAUUUCUUCCUACACAUGCUUUGGUGUUAUGACUAUUACUUCCUUUUAUUUUUUGCAACACCGAUUAAAUGGUAGGAGCUCCUUCACUACUUACAUGUACACAGUUAGAUAAUUAAGACUGAAUUACUGACGACAUAACCAUCGCCUUAGCUAGCAAUAUGGUGAUAUUAAUCUCCUAAUCUACAUAAUUUGAAGAAGUAUACCGAUAAGUAGAUCUUGCGAUUUUGUAUCAUGGUAAAGUAAAUUCAGUAACAAAACACACACUUUGAUGUUUUGUGCUUGCUCUAAAUUUCCUUUCAACUGUACCACUUUGUAUGUUUAUUUUCCCCACUUUCUACUAUGUAUGCAAGAUGAUACUUUAUUUUGUAUGUUGUCUUUCCUUACCAGCCAAAUAAAGUUUGAAUCAUUUUUAUUGCUUCGGUAGAUUAUAUGACUCUCACCAAGUUUCCUUUGAAAAUUUCUGGUGAUUUAUUUUCCAAUUGCUUAUUUCUCAAUUGCAAGGAGCACAACGACUAUGAUCUUCUUCGGCCUGCCUCAAGGUUGCCGGCGGCCGCGCCGCCACUAUCCAGAAUUAAGGUGCAGUUGAUUGGUAUUUUAGUAUUUCUUUUUUGCCGACCUUUAUUAGCCUAAUAGUCAUGUUUGCUUGUGGACCAUAUGGUGUUUUAUUACUCUGCUACAGUUAGGUUCUUAGGUCAUACAUGAAUUAAAGUGCUGGCUCUGACGAACUAAAAUACCACAUGGAAACUAUAGUCAUACUGACAGUAUGCAAUGGCUAGAUGUCGGGAAUGAUAAACUAUGAUAAUGGGGAUAAUAAACCUUGAUAGGGUGCCAAAGCAAGUUUUUGAUAUAUAUGAAGUGUUAUAUUUUUUGUUCAGUGGUUUGGUUCCAGGCGAAUUAACUAAUUAGAAAAAAAUGUGCAUUGGAAUGCCUCACGUCUGUUUUGUAAGACCACCAUCCACUGAUUUAUUUUUAAAAAUUGUUAUUUUUGCAUCAAAAUCAAUAUUUUUCAUUCAUGCUUUUGGUGUACUAUAGGAUUGCAAAUACGAGAGGUUAGAUGCUCAUUUAGAUCUUUAUCAUGAGAUGUAUCAUACCGAGGAGAUUUUGUCCUAACAUGAACUUUCUCUCCAUGUGCUAGAGUUACAAGGAUGUUCCUUCAUUUUAACAUUUCCGUGUGAUCUAUAAUCAUAUCUUUCAUGCAGAUUCAGAUUCAUGUAUUACUACAGCUCCCACUAGCAUUUGCCCGAGAUUAACAAGUUUAAGAGUGUAGCUUAUUUGAUUUCACCUACUUUACAAAGUACUCUUCUCCUACUCAUAUGGGCCUAAAGAUGCACUGGAUUUACAAUAAACAUUCUUAUAAUUUACAAAUUCACUUUCAUGAAUAAUAUAAACGGUUUGAUACAGUAAACGUCAUAAUGUACGAGUAUGUUUUAUUUUCUGAUGACAUGUGUAUGUGUUGGUUCCUGGUCAUUUUUCAUAGAU
This is a long non-coding RNA of Triticum aestivum (bread wheat), 3065 nucleotides long. RefSeq lists it as uncharacterized. The transcript has 3 exons. The record is from RefSeq and is a predicted model, not a curated record. NCBI's taxonomy places the organism in Eukaryota, Viridiplantae, Streptophyta, Magnoliopsida, Poales, Poaceae.